GAUGAACGCUGGCGGUGUGCCUAAUACAUGCAAGUCGAGCGAACAGACGAGGAGCUUUCUCCUCUGACGUUAGCGGCGGACGGGUGAGUAACACGUGGAUAACCUACCUAUAAGACUGGGAUAACUUCGGGAAACCGGAGCUAAUACCGGAUAACAUGUUGAACCGCAUGGUUCAACAGUGAAAGACGGUCUUGCUGUCACUUAUAGCUGGAUCCGCGUCGCAUUAGCUAGUUGGUAAGGUAACGGCUUACCAAGGCAACGAUGCGUAGCCGACCUGAGAGGGUGAUCGGCGACACUGGAACUGAGACACGGUCCAGACUCCUACGGGAGGCAGCAGUAGGGAAUCUUCCGCAAUGGGCGAAAGCCUGACGGAGCAACGCCGCGUGAGUGAAGAAGGUCUUCGGAUCGUAAAGCUCUGUUAUUAGGGAAGAACAAAUGUGUAAGUAACUGUGCACGUCUUGACGGUACCGAAUCAGAAAGCCACGGCUAACUACGUG
RNAcentral lists this ribosomal RNA (497 nucleotides) under uncultured bacterium. RNAcentral describes it as "partial 16S ribosomal RNA". It matches the Rfam family "Bacterial small subunit ribosomal RNA", at positions 28 to 507 of the family's 1533-position model. The record is from RNAcentral.